GUCCUCCCCAGAUUUUGUUGCGUCUAAUUUUGGGGUUGCUUCCAGUCCUGUAAACAGAAUAGACAAUAAUACCAUUUCAAUAGCUUCUACUCCCAUAUCUUCAUGUUACGUGAGGUAAACAGUGGAGAAAUCCACAUAAGUCACUUAGUAAGAAUUAACUAUACAAUGGAGUCCAAGAUGCCCUGAGAAGAAAGUGGUUUAAUUUUGCUUAAUCCUGUAUUUCCCACAGAACAUACUUUACUACAGAUUAUUAUUGUAGAGUUUCCUAACAUGUAAACUAAAUGGGGUUAUAUUAAGUGACAUAUAUUCCCCUCAUAUGUAAAAUGAAGGACUGAAUUACAGGCAUGCCUUGGAGAUAACUGCAGGUUCCGUUCCAGACCACCAUAAUAAAGCGAGUAUUGCAAUAAAGAGAGUCGCAUCAAUUUUUUGGUUUACAUUAUACUGUAGUCUAUUAAGUAUGCAAUAGCAUUUCAUAAAAAAAAGCACAUACCCUAACUUAAAAAUACUUUAUCGCUAAAAAAAUGCU
This 526-nucleotide long non-coding RNA is filed under the name Homo sapiens (human). RNAcentral describes it as "HSALNT0302374". The record is from RNAcentral. Lineage: Eukaryota; Metazoa; Chordata; Mammalia; Primates; Hominidae.